GGACUACAGGGGUAUCUAAUCCCGUUCGCUCCCCACGCUGUCGUGUCUGAGCGUCAGGGGCGAGCCAGGAGGCCGCCUUCGCCUCUGGGGUUCCUCCGGAUCUCUACGCAUUUCACCACUACACCCGGAAUUCCGCCUCCCUCUCUCGCCCUCUAGGCUCUCAGUCUGGCAUAACCCCUCCAGGUUGAGCCCGGAGAUUUCAUACACCACUUGAGAACCCGCCUGCACACCCUUUACGCCCAGUAAAUCCGGAUAACGCUUGCCACCUACGUUUUACCGCGGCUGCUGGCAC
Molecule: ribosomal RNA, 292 nt
Filed under: uncultured bacterium
Lineage: Bacteria
Description: partial 16S ribosomal RNA
Source: RNAcentral